Molecule: long non-coding RNA, 2126 nt
Organism: Bos taurus (domestic cattle)
Lineage: Eukaryota; Metazoa; Chordata; Mammalia; Artiodactyla; Bovidae
Source: Ensembl
GCCUCCUCUCCCAGCUCAGAAGGCACAGCGGGUAGGUGCAGAGUGACAGCUGAAGGACCAUGUAUCCCCCAAGGGCAGAAAACCACCACGCAGGAGAGGAUACCAGAGGCCCUAGUGAGCUUGGUCCUGGCAGGAACUUUCCACAGGCGGGCACACCUGGGCUUCAGAUCAGGCCUCCAGGGCUCUUGCAUGUCUGAUCACAAAGGGAGGCAGAAGGACCUGAUGGGAGAAGCACCCGCCUUGGUAGAGAAAGGAUGGAGAAAUGAGCACAGGUGCAGCGCCUGCUGAUACCUCGGGCCUGGUCUCUCCAGCCCCAGCUGUAAUGGGGGAAAGAGACUGUGAGGAUGGAAUUAGGUGCUGCGUGUAAGGCACUUUGCACCCAAUAAGCCCCACUAAAAGCCUCUGAUCUUCUUAAAGAAAAUGGGGAACAAGGAGGCUGCUGAGGGCUCUAGCUGGCUGCGGACACUCCUGAGCCUCUGUCACUUUCCCAUCUGCCAGACCCCAGAGGCAGAUCGCCCAGGCUCAGAAGCUACAUUCAAUGGAGAGAACAGCCACCCAGCCCUCGAAGUGCUCAGCUCUGAGCAGCCAUACCCUCAUAGGGGAGCAUUCUCACCUCAGGCUACCUGCUCUGGGUGACGUCACACCUCCAGGGAUGAUCCAGCCAAGCGCCGCCAGGCAGGCACUAAACACAGAGUUCAGAGUCCAUUGGAAAGGUGGCCGAGCAUGAUCAGCAUGAACAGCCUAAGAUGGAGUCCAGGCCCUAUGAAUUCCUUCUUCAGACCUAAAUAUAUGUGGGGGUGUUGCUUCCUUAAUAGGAGUUUAUGUCUCACUUGCCUGUCAGUUUCAAGCAAGUGUCCAGGAAGUGAACAGCAUCCUCCACACCAUGAUUCAAGGCCCCAGGAUCAUUAUUUCUGCGGCUCUACCAUCUCUUACAGCCUUUGGUCAUCUUCAUACAGCUGAUGAAAGGACAAAGAAUCUGACCCUUGAAGCGACAUCUCUCUCUUCCAUUCACAUUCUACUAUUUUGAAUCUAUUUUGUUAGUCACAAAAAAAAGCUAGUCACACAGUCAUGCUUAGGUGCAUGGAAUAGGGGUAGGGAAAUGGGGAUAUAGCUGGAAAAUGUUCCUGGAUGGGCUUUCCAGAUACUGCUCUUUGCAAUGGCUGUGGGAGGGUGGGUUUUGGUGGGCAGCCAGCCCCCUCUGCCAUACACAGCUUUAGCUUAGGUGUGGUUGAGCUAGUGAUAAAAUCACUGUGGUUUUAGAGCAAAUAAUGAGUCCCCCAAGGGAACAAGAACAAGUUGAGCAGGAGCCCCCAUUCUGAGUCUGGCCUCAUACUCAGACACACUGUAGGAGACCACCAAGUGAGCAGUGAGGCCCCAGCCUCUAGGAACCACCAGAUAUAUUGGAACUCUAAUGCAUGAGAUCAGCAGUCACCAGCCCAAGGCAGGAGAUAAUCAAAUGCUGAGUGGUGCCUGGCACAAAGAUGAGAGUGUAAAUUUUGGGAGAAAAGGAACUGUUUCUGUAUGUUCCUGGCUGACUCUUCUGUGCCCGGCACAAGGACUGGCAUGGAGCCCCACCUCAGAAGACCUCCGCUGGCUCAAAUUAAACUGCCUGGAGGAGACAGGGCAGAAAAGGGGGAAAGGGUGGCCCUGAGUGUUCUGUUGACCUUCCUUGGAAGGAUUUCUGGAGAUGGAGGAUUAAUUAAAUAAAGGCCUGAGGCCGGAACCAAAUCCAUCAAGCAGUACGAACAGCAUGGACUGUCUGGCCAGAGGGUAGCAGGAGUCCUUCAGGGCGCUGGGGAGCUGACUGGGCUCUUUUCCUCCAUGACCCUGAUCAUCGGUAGUGAUAUAUGUGAAACUAUUGCACUAGACCAAGAGCUCCCUGAGGGCCGAAGCCUAUCUUCCCAGGCAUCACUGAGCCUGCAGGCCCUGACCCAUGCUAGGUGCUUAGUGAAUGAGUGCAAGGCCUGCUAAUGGGACGGUCAGCCGCUAUCUGCACCAUGAAGCUGCCCAGGGCAGGGAGGUGGCCCUCCACCUGUCUGCCCAUUCUGCCUGGAGCUGGAUUUUACCUCCAGCCAGAACUUCCUUUGUUUGCUCAUUAAGUUAAUGUUUAUUGUGCUCCACCAAGG